CGCGGGGUGGAGCAGCCUGGUAGCUCGUCGGGCUUACAACCCGAAGGUCGUCGGUUCAAAUCCGGCCCCCGCAACCA
This 77-nucleotide transfer RNA is filed under the name Escherichia coli B. RNAcentral describes it as "P-site tRNA from Escherichia coli B (PDB 9Q87, chain Z)". It matches the Rfam family "tRNA". From Rfam's summary of the family: Transfer RNA (tRNA) molecules are approximately 80 nucleotides in length. Their secondary structure includes four short double-helical elements and three loops (D, anti-codon, and T loops). Lineage: Bacteria; Pseudomonadati; Pseudomonadota; Gammaproteobacteria; Enterobacterales; Enterobacteriaceae. The record is from RNAcentral. RNAcentral also lists the same sequence under 1 other name.